RNAcentral lists this ribosomal RNA (1951 nucleotides) under human gut metagenome. RNAcentral's name for it is "bacterial LSU rRNA". It matches the Rfam family "Bacterial large subunit ribosomal RNA", at positions 3 to 1988 of the family's 2925-position model. The record is from RNAcentral.
UUAAGCUAAUAAGAGCGCAGGGUGGAUGCCUUGGCACUAAGAGCCGAUGAAAGACGUGAUAAGCUGCGAAAAGCUUCGGGGAGGAGCAAAUAUCCAUUGAUCCGGAGAUAUCUGAAUGGGGAAACCCGGCUGAGAAGACCUCAGUCAUCCAUACGCCAAUACAUAACGUAUGGAAGGGAACCCGCUGAACUGAAACAUCUAAGUAGGCGGAGGAAGAGAAAGAAACAUCGAUUCCCAAAGUAGCGGCGAGCGAAAUGGGAAGAGCCCAAACCAGAGUGCGUGCACUCUGGGGUUACGGACUGCAUAAGUGAGCUGAUUCGUUAAUGGAACGGUCCUGGAAAGACCGGCCAGAGAGAGUGAAAGCCUCGUACAUGAAAGCGAUAAGCAGCGGCAGGAUCCAGAGUACCGCGAGACACGUGGAACCUUGCGGGAAUUCGGGGGGACCACCCCCCAAGGCUAAAUACUCCUUAGUGACCGAUAGCGCAUAGUACUGUGAAGGAAAGGUGAAAAGGACCCCGGGAGGGGAGUGAAAGAGAACCUGAAACCCUGUGUUUACAAGCUGUGGAACAUCUUUAAAUGAUGAACCGCGUACUUUUUGUAGAACGGUCCGGCGAGUUACGCGUGCCGGCAAGGUUAAGCACUUAAGGUGUGGAGCCGAAGAGAAAUCGAGUCUGAACAGGGCGUUCAGUCAGCACGCGUAGACCCGAAACCGGGUGAUCUACCCAUGUCCAGGUUGAAGUUGCCGUAAAAGGCAAUGGAGGACCGAACGCACAUCCGUUGAAAAGGGUGGCGAUGAGGUGUGGAUAGGGGAGAAAUUCCAAUCGAACCCGGAGAUAGCUGGUUCUCCUCGAAAUAGCUUUAGGGCUAGCCUCGUAUUAGUUUAGCGGAGGUAGAGCACUGAAUUUCCUAGGGGGCGUCAAAGUCUACCGAAGAAUAUCAAACUCCGAAUGCCGCAUAAAUGAUGUACGGGAGUCAGACUGCACGAGAUAAGUUGGGCAGUCAAAAGGGAAAGAGCCCAGACCGCCAGCUAAGGUCCCAAAGUGUGUGUUAAGUGGAAAAGGAUGUGGGAUUUCGAAGACAACUAGGAUGUUGGCUCAGAAGCAGCCACACAUUCAAAGAGUGCGUAAUAGCUCACUAGUCGAGAGGUCCUGCGCCGAAAAUGUCCGGGGCUGAAACACGACACCGAAGCUUAGGAAUCACAUAGUGAUUGGUAGAGGAGCAUUCUUAAAACCGACGAAGCUGUACCGGAAGGAGCAGUGGAGGGAUAAGAAGAGAGAAUGCCGGAAUGAGUAGCGAGAGGAAGGUGGGAAUCCUUCCGGCCGAAUAUCUAAGGUUUCCAGAGUAAAGCUGAUCUGCUCUGGGUAAGUCGGGGCCUAAGGAGAGGUCGAAAGACGUAUCCGAUGGACAACAGGUUUAGAUUCCUGUACCACAUAUAAACAGAACUGUGGGGACGCAUGUGGAAAGCAUAAGCCGGGAAUGGAAAUACCGGUACAAACGGAAGAGGUGUCAGGCUGGCAAAUCCGCCUGGCAAGCCAAAGACGUGAUGUGGAGCGAAAUAAAAGUAGCGAAGUAUGUGAGCCAUGUGCCGAGAAAAGCCGCUAUUGUUUUAUAUGUGCCCGUACCGUAAACCGACACAGGUGGAUGAGGAGAGAAUCCUAAGGCCGACGGAAGAAGCAUUGUUAAGGAACUCGGCAAAAUGACCCCGUAACUUCGGGAGAAGGGGUGCCCGCGAGAGCAGGCCGCAGAGAAUAGGCUCAAGCAACUGUUUAGCAAAAACACAGGUCUAUGCGAAACCGAAAGGUGAGGUAUAUGGGCUGACGCCUGCCCGGUGCUGGAAGGUUAAGAGGAGAGGUUAGCGCAAGCGAAGCUUUGAAUUUAAGCCCCAGUAAACGGCGGCCGUAACUAUAACGGUCCUAAGGUAGCGAAAUUCCUUGUCGGGUAAGUUCCGACC